UGGAUCCAGACUUUGAUCAUGGCUCAGGACGAACGCUGGCGGCGCGCCUAACACAUGCAAGUCGAACGAGCGAGAGAGAGCUUGCUUUCUCGAGCGAGUGGCGAACGGGUGAGUAACGCGUGAGGAACCUGCCUCAAAGAGGGGGACAACAGUUGGAAACGACUGCUAAUACCGCAUAAGCCCGCGGUGCCGCAUGGCACAGAGGGAAAAGGAGCAAUCCGCUUUGAGAUGGCCUCGCGUCCGAUUAGCUAGUUGGUGAGGUAACGGCCCACCAAGGCGACGAUCGGUAGCCGGACUGAGAGGUUGAACGGCCACAUUGGGACUGAGACACGGCCCUGACUCCUACGGGAGGCAGCAGUGGGGAAUAUUGCACAAUGGGGGAAACCCUGAUGCAGCGACGCCGCGUGGAGGAAGAAGGUCUUCGGAUUGUAAACUCCUGUUGUUGAGGAAGAUAAUGACGGUACUCAACAAGGAAGUGACGGCUAACUACGUGCCAGCAGCCGCGGUAAAACGUAGGUCACAAGCGUUGUCCGGAAUUACUGGGUGUAAAGGGAGCGCAGGCGGGAAGACAAGUUGGAAGUGAAAUCCAUGGGCUCAACCCAUGAACUGCUUUCAAAACUGUUUUUCUUGAGUAGUGCAGAGGUAGGCGGAAUUCCCGGUGUAGCGGUGGAAUGCGUAGAUAUCGGGAGGAACACCAGUGGCGAAGGCGGCCUACUGGGCACCAACUGACGCUGAGGCUCGAAAGUGUGGGUAGCAAACAGGAUUAGAUACCCUGGUAGUCCACACCGUAAACGAUGAUUACUAGGUGUUGGAGGAUUGACCCCUUCAGUGCCGCAGUUAACACAAUAAGUAAUCCACCUGGGGAGUACGACCGCAAGGUUGCAACUCAAAUGAAUUGACGGA
RNAcentral lists this ribosomal RNA (903 nucleotides) under uncultured organism. RNAcentral's name for it is "bacterial SSU rRNA". It matches the Rfam family "Bacterial small subunit ribosomal RNA", at positions 1 to 917 of the family's 1533-position model. The record is from RNAcentral.